Molecule: ribosomal RNA, 253 nt
Filed under: uncultured bacterium
Lineage: Bacteria
Description: partial 16S ribosomal RNA
Rfam family: Bacterial small subunit ribosomal RNA
Source: RNAcentral
UACGGGGGGGGCAAGCGUUGUUCGGAAUUACUGGGCGUAAAGGGUUUGUAGGUGGCCAACUAAGUCAGACGUGAAAUCCCUCAGCUUAACUGGGGAACUGCGUCUGAUACUGGUUGGCUUGAGUGCAGGAGAGGAAUGCGGAAUUCCAGGUGUAGCGGUGAAAUGCGUAGAUAUCUGGAGGAACACCGGUGGCGAAGGCGGCAUUCUGGACCAAUUCUGACGCUGAGGAGCGAAAGCCAGGGGAGCAAACGGG